GGGGCCAUAGCUCAGUUGGUAGAGCGCUUGCAUGGCAUGCAAGAGGUCGUCGGUUCGAUUCCGUCUGGCUCCACCA
Molecule: transfer RNA, 76 nt
Filed under: Hyphomicrobiales bacterium
Lineage: Bacteria; Pseudomonadati; Pseudomonadota; Alphaproteobacteria; Hyphomicrobiales
Also listed under: 3 other names
Description: Rhizobiales bacterium tRNA-Ala
Rfam family: tRNA
About the family: Transfer RNA (tRNA) molecules are approximately 80 nucleotides in length.
Source: RNAcentral